This 400-nucleotide ribosomal RNA is filed under the name uncultured bacterium. Its description in RNAcentral is "bacterial SSU rRNA". It matches the Rfam family "Bacterial small subunit ribosomal RNA", at positions 356 to 773 of the family's 1533-position model. The record is from RNAcentral.
GGGGAAUAUUGCACAAUGGGGGAAACCCUGAUGCAGCAACGCCGCGUGAGUGAUGAAGGCCUUCGGGUUGUAAAGCUCUGUCUUUGGGGACGAUAAUGACGGUACCCAAGGAGGAAGCCACGGCUAACUACGUGCCAGCAGCCGCGGUAAUACGUAGGUGGCAAGCGUUGUCCGGAUUUACUGGGCGUAAAGGGAGCGUAGGUGGAUAUUUAAGUGGGAUGUGAAAUACCUGAGCUUAACUUGGGUGCUGCAUUCCAAACUGGAUAUCUAGAGUGCAGGAGAGGAAAGUGGAAUUCCUAGUGUAGCGGUGAAAUGCGUAGAGAUUAGGAAGAACACCAGUGGCGAAGGCGACUUUCUGGACUGUAACUGACACUGAGGCUCGAAAGCGUGGGGAGCAAAC